Grammomys surdaster is the source of this 429-nucleotide long non-coding RNA. RefSeq lists it as uncharacterized. NCBI's taxonomy places the organism in Eukaryota, Metazoa, Chordata, Mammalia, Rodentia, Muridae. The record is from RefSeq and is a predicted model, not a curated record. The transcript is spliced from 2 exons.
ACUAGAAGUCUCACAAUCAAUUCUAAGACUGCUGCCAAGAAGGAAGUUCCUUUAAGACAUUUAGUGGUGGAGAGCAAGAAGAUUGUUCUUCAUGUUUUGUUAGUCAAGCAGAAAACUCAGAGAGAAAAGAGCAAUAAAGACUGAAAAUGGCUGGAAAGAUGCAGAUUUUUGCUGUACUCUAGUGGUGAGCUGCAUUUCCUGAGUGUCAGCAGACUUCCCAGCAGGAAUUCCAGUCUGAUGAAGAAUCAGCCAAAGGAAGUCCUCACUGAGAGAUACACUGGUAUCAUUCACUGAGUGGAAACAGUGAAAGAGUAACAUAUUUCUAAAGGGAAUUUACAUUAUUAAUACAUGUGCUUUUGUAGCUACUUACAGAAAUACACUUUUAUCUUUCCAUGGUUGAAAAAAUAAGUAAUUUUCCUCAAAACCCUA